GCAGCCUCUAACAGUCAAAUGCAUCAUUAGCAGGUGGAAAAAGCUGUUGAAAUGGGAAAUGAAUGCAUCAGGCAGCCUCCUCCAGAUGGACUGCCUAGCUUUUCAAUUUGCAGUUUCACUCCAGUUGGACUUUGUGUUUUGGAUUCAACCUAAACAGCAUUUCUUCUCCCGCCUUCAGAAACAAGUCUUUCUGCAUCAAUUUCUUCCUAGGUUUACCCAGGCACUCAGGAUAAAGAGGAUCAGAAUAUUUAAGUUGCAGCACGGAGCCCAGUGAACUUUGCAUCAAGGGCCUGGCCUCCUUUGCGGGACUGCUAGAUGUAGGUCACACUCACAGGACCAAGGGGGUUGAGUGACUUCCAACCCAUUAAUUUUCUUCCUUCCUUGUAUACAUGUAUGCUCUCUUCUCCCCCCAAGGCUGGCAUCCUCCCCCUUCCUAGCCCAUAUAGUCCCAUCCCAAGACUUUCUCUCACAUGUAGAGGAAGGGGUAGCCAAAAAGGCAGCAUGAGCUGGAAAGUGGAAGCAUAAAUGGCAGAAAGAAAUUGAAGACCACAAAAUCUUAAAGAAAUAAAGGAUGUUAUCCUGCC
Anas platyrhynchos (mallard) is the source of this 584-nucleotide long non-coding RNA. RefSeq lists it as uncharacterized. Lineage: Eukaryota; Metazoa; Chordata; Aves; Anseriformes; Anatidae. The record is from RefSeq and is a predicted model, not a curated record.